GACCAAUUCGCAUCAGAGCCAUCCGAUCGCGCACUACAGUCUCAAAUCAAGCCUGAUCAUGCCCAAAUUGAGUUCCAACCAUCCGAUCAUGACUGCAUACGAUCUAGACUGUCGAAUCAUGCAUAAAUAUUUUUAGACCGCAUGUAGACCGUGUGAUUGGUCUACACGGCCUCCAUGGACCACCCAGCACCUUGCGGUCCAUGGUGGACUGCC
Molecule: long non-coding RNA, 213 nt
Filed under: Elaeis guineensis (African oil palm)
Lineage: Eukaryota; Viridiplantae; Streptophyta; Magnoliopsida; Arecales; Arecaceae
Description: long non-coding RNA (EGUI_LNC062837)
Source: RNAcentral